RNAcentral lists this unclassified non-coding RNA (127 nucleotides) under Gracilariopsis lemaneiformis. Lineage: Eukaryota; Rhodophyta; Florideophyceae; Gracilariales; Gracilariaceae. The record is from RNAcentral.
UUGAUAAAACAAAAAUGCUGUCUGGUGUUUUUUUUUUUGUCUCUUCUUUACGCGCAUAAUUCUUUAUUUAUUUAUUUAUUAGAACCCAACCCAUUCAUAAAAACAAAAAAAAACUCAAAACUGAAAC